GUGCUCGCCGUGGCAGCAUAAAGACUAAAAUUGGAAUGACACGGAAAAGGUUAGUGUGGCCCCGGCACAAGGAUGACACUCAAGUUCGUGAAGCGUCCAUAUUUUGC
RNAcentral lists this small nuclear RNA (107 nucleotides) under Propithecus coquereli (Coquerel's sifaka). Lineage: Eukaryota; Metazoa; Chordata; Mammalia; Primates; Indriidae. The record is from RNAcentral.